RNAcentral lists this non-coding RNA (26 nucleotides) under Homo sapiens (human). The record is from RNAcentral. Lineage: Eukaryota; Metazoa; Chordata; Mammalia; Primates; Hominidae.
UAGAUCCCUGCCUUAUCCCAAGGACA